Molecule: long non-coding RNA, 1739 nt
Organism: Equus caballus (horse)
Lineage: Eukaryota; Metazoa; Chordata; Mammalia; Perissodactyla; Equidae
Source: Ensembl
GCAUCAGAGGGUGGCUGAGGGGCUGCCGUGGGUGCUGCUCGUAUAGACAGAACCCCCCCUGUUCACCAGCAUUUGAGCUGCCCCCUCUUCUCCCACCAGAUGGAACAGUGCUGCCUAAUUGGUCAACUCUGCUGGAGGAGAACCUGAGAGGUGAUGCGGGAUUGGUUUGUGUGGAGCCCCGGGCCCUGGGGAGGGGCCGGAAGUCAGCCCUGUCCUGCAGCCAGAAGGUGGAGCAGGUGGGAACGGAGCCCCUCUCUUCGCAGACACUUCACAGAAGGUGAGGGAAGCGUGCCGUCAGGGGGCGCUCACCUUCAGCACAGGAGGCAGAGAAGGGCUUUCAACACUCAGCCUCACAGAUACUCACAUUGUCUCAGAAAAUGCGAGUAUUUUUCUUCUUUUUUUUUCUCUCCCCUUUUGUCUGCUGUCAGAUGCUCAGGGAACAGCGCCGGGAGAGAGAAAGGGCUGACAUGCAGGGAAAACUCAUUUUGGAGGCCUCAGUUGGCUCAGUGCCCUCCAGCCGGAGCUGGGUCCCCAUCAGAGAGCGUCCAGUGGCUUUCAGGGACCCUCAGGGAGAUCCAUGGAUGAGAACCAAGGAAGAAUGAAGCGGGCAUGCGUGGGAGCCAGGAGCCGCUCUGAGCCUCGGGGAAGAGAAGCCUUGAGCAGGGACGUCAGGAGACCAAGAAAGUCCUACAAUUCUGAGCAGCCUGCGGAUCUCUGAGGCACUGAGCCAGCAGCCAUCAUCCUUCUCUCUCCGUCUAAAUUGUUUCAGCACCACACACCCUAAGGCGCGGGGAGGGGCAUGGAGCUGGGCAGCGACUUCCUUUGAGCAGGCCCAGUUGAGUCCCUGGUCCUGGCCUGUGUGCCCCCUGCCUGCAGCCCUGAGCCAGGAAGUAGGUGGAGUUGGGUGGCACUUCCUGGCGUGAAAGCCAGGAAGUUCAAGCGUCUUUUCCCAAUUGGCCAGUUUUGAGCGGAGGAGGAUUAGCUGUGGGAUGCUGGGCAAGUCACUUAACCUCUGUGAGCCUUACUUUCUUCAUCUGGGAAAUGAGCUGACAGCUGCCUCCUCGGCUGGUGUGAGCCCUGAGUGAUGACACAUGUGGGGGCCAGGUGCUGUGCCUGGCCCUCAGCAGGUGCUCCCAUGGUGAGCCUCAUCCCCACCGUGGAGAGCUCGGCACUGACAGUUCUCCCCGAAGCCAGCCCCUGCGUCAUUCUGCUUUCAAUGUUCCCACAUCUGCCCCCUUUCCCCCAUUGGGACAGUCAAGGCAUUGGGCACAUGGCCACCAAGGCCCUUUGCAGCUUGGACAGUGGGGGCCCCUUACUCCUUUCCUGAGCCACAGCCUCAUGCCCGACUCUAACCACUGCACCCCCAGCCCCGUGAGCCUGUCAGCUGCGUUCAGGAGACCCUGAGCCUCCCUACUGACCCAGAGCUGCAGGAGAACAGACCCACCACCGACUGCAGACCUCCUGUGUCCGGGCCCUGGGCUCGCAGAGAACAGAUGCGCCCUGUUCCCUCUGAGGUUGUGUCAGCAGGAGGGAAGCAGGCACCGCGAGGAGGGACCCUGGACACGCCAGGCCGGCCCUGGGAGCAGGAGACCCAGGAAUAGACACGGCAGGACCGUGGCGCCCUUUGGAAAAAGGAUGUUUCCUGCCAGAUCGUCCCCUGAAGAUGCGUUUGUCACCAGCUGUCGUGUAAAUCCAUGUUUGGCCUGUUUUAAAAGAUGUGAUUUAUCCACAUGACUGGC